RNAcentral lists this ribosomal RNA (468 nucleotides) under uncultured bacterium. RNAcentral describes it as "partial 16S ribosomal RNA". It matches the Rfam family "Bacterial small subunit ribosomal RNA", at positions 28 to 507 of the family's 1533-position model. The record is from RNAcentral.
GACGAACGCUGGCGGCGUGCUUAACACAUGCAAGUCGAACGGAAAGGCCCUGCUUUUGUUGGGUGCUCGAUUGGCGAACGGGUGAGUAACACGUGAGUAACCUGCCCUUGACUGUGUGAUAACUUCAGGGAACUGGGGCUAAUACCGGAUAGGAUCUCCUGCUGCAUGGGGGGGGUUGGAAAAUUUCGGCGGUUGGGGAUGUACUCGCGGCUUAUCAGCUUGUUGGGGGGGUAGUGGCUGACCAAGGGUUUGACGGGUAGCCUGCCUGAGAGGGUGAACGGGCUCCUUGGGCCUGCGAUACGGACCAGAAUCCUACCGGCGGCAGUAGUCGGGAACCUUGCGCAAUGGGGCGACGCCUGAUGUAGCAACCUCGGGUUCGGGAUGCACGGCUUUGGGUUGUAAACCGAUUUGGAAUGUGCCGAACACAGCGUGACGGUAAUUGGUCAAAAAGCCACGGCUAACUACGUG